GAUCCAAAAAAGUGCCACGUGAGC
RNAcentral lists this microRNA (24 nucleotides) under Oryza sativa (Asian cultivated rice). RNAcentral's name for it is "osa-miR7692-5p". The record is from miRBase by way of RNAcentral. Lineage: Eukaryota; Viridiplantae; Streptophyta; Magnoliopsida; Poales; Poaceae.